CUCGUAGGCGGUUCGUCGCGUCCGGUGUGAAAGUCCAUCGCUUAACGGUGGAUCUGCGCCGGGUACGGGCGGGCUGGAGUGCGGUAGGGGAGACUGGAAUUCCCGGUGUAACGGUGGAAUGUGUAGAUAUCGGGAGGAACACCAAUGGCGAAGGCAGGUCUCUGGGCCGUCACUGACGCUGAGGAGCGAAAGCGUGGGGAGCGAACA
Molecule: ribosomal RNA, 207 nt
Filed under: uncultured bacterium
Lineage: Bacteria
Description: partial 16S ribosomal RNA
Rfam family: Bacterial small subunit ribosomal RNA
Source: RNAcentral